GAUGAACGCUGGCGGCGUGCCUAAUACAUGCAAGUCGAGCGAACGGACGAGAAGCUUGCUUUUCUGAUGUUAGCGGCGGACGGGUGAGUAACACGUGGAUAACCUACCUAUAAGACUGGGAUAACUUCGGGAAACCGGAGCUAAUACCGGAUAAUAUUUUGAACCGCAUGGUUCAAAAGUGAAAGACGGUCUUGCUGUCACUUAUAGAUGGAUCCGCGCUGCAUUAGCUAGUUGGUAAGGUAACGGCUUACCAAGGCAACGAUGCGUAGCCGACCUGAGAGAGUGAUCGGCCACACUGGAACUGAGACACGGUCCAGACUCCUACGGGAGGCAGCAGUAGGGAAUCUUCCGCAAUGGGCGAAAGCAUGACGGAGCAACGCCGCGUGAGUGAUGAAGGUCUUCGGAUCGUAAAACUCUGUUAUUAGGGAAGAACAUAUGUGUAAGUAACUGUGCACGUCUUGACGGUACCUAAUCAGAAAGCCACGGCUAACUACGUG
RNAcentral lists this ribosomal RNA (497 nucleotides) under uncultured bacterium. RNAcentral describes it as "partial 16S ribosomal RNA". It matches the Rfam family "Bacterial small subunit ribosomal RNA", at positions 28 to 507 of the family's 1533-position model. The record is from RNAcentral.